GACGAACGCUGGCGGCGUGCUUAACACAUGCAAGUCGAACGGAGAUCGCUCAAUGCCGAAGUUUUCGGAUGGAGGCGCCGAGCGUAUCUUAGUGGCGAACGGGUGAGUAACGCGUGAGCAACCUGGCCUUUACAGGGGGAUAACAACUGGAAACGGUUGCUAAUACCGCAUAAGACCACAGUAUCGCAUGGUACAGGGGUCAAAGGAGCAAUCCGGUAAAGGGGGGGCUCGCGUCCCAUUAGAUAGUUGGUGAGGUAACGGCUCACCAAGUCAGCGAUGGGUAGCCGGUCUGAGAGGAUGAACGGCCACACUGGGACUGAGACACGGCCCAGACUCCUACGGGAGGCAGCAGUGGGGAAUAUUGGGCAAUGGGGGAAACCCUGACCCAGCAACGCCGCGUGAGGGAAGAAGGUUUUCGGAUUGUAAACCUCUGUCCUCAGGGAAGAAGAAAGUGACGGUACCUGAGGAGGAAGCCCCGGCUAACUACGUGCCAGCCGCCGCCGUAACAC
This 509-nucleotide ribosomal RNA is filed under the name uncultured bacterium. RNAcentral describes it as "bacterial SSU rRNA". It matches the Rfam family "Bacterial small subunit ribosomal RNA", at positions 28 to 526 of the family's 1533-position model. The record is from RNAcentral.